UGAAUCUCAAGCAUCUCUGGAGCUUAAAAUUAGACAUAUAAUUUGUCUAUCAAUAUGAUGCAAUGUAUUUAUUCUGAUAAGAAUUUUUUUUAUGCCAUUGUUAAUGUUUAUGCUUCCAUUUGUGCUCUAAAUUAGUUUUAUAACUUUCCCAAACUUAAUUGUCUUGAUCUGCUACUACAAGAGACACAGUUAGACAUUAGUUAUUUGAAUAGGAAAACUGAAAAUAUUCAUUCUUUAGAGAAUGACAAACUUACAGAUUAUUUUUUUUUGCAUUUCUACGGAACUAAGUGUUACAUUUAUGGGCCAAUAUAUUUGUGGUUUCUUUUCAUUAAUCUCUAGGUUACUACUGGCACACAGCUAAAUAUAUAAGCCUUCCCUUCUUGAUUCCUUUUUUACUAAAAAUUUGUUCCAUCUCAUACUUGGUUGCUUGCUACUUAUCUUUGAUGAUCUUGUUGAACCAAAAAUAUCUUUGCAGCUAUGAAUUCUACAUAAGACAACACAAAAUCUUUGUACAAAGUGAGAGCAGAAAUGCGAAGUACAUUGAACAUUCAUUUGAAGAUAUUUUGAAGGUGAAUGGAGGUAUUCAGAAACUCCAACUAAAUAGCUCGAGUAUAGAUAAUUACAGGAGCAACAACUACAUGCUAUAUGACACUGCAUAUGAACUCCAAGGGUGUGACUGAAAAGUAUUUCGAUGAAAAACUAUCAAGAAGGCUUUGGGAUUUAAGCGAGAAAAUGGUGGUGUCUCUGCUAGCUUUCAAAUGCUAAAACCCACUAUGCUGGUUCUUAUCACAAUGGUCCUUCUUGUUCGGUUUACUCUUUCAAGAAGGUCAGAGAAUUACAGUCAAUGGGAUAUAGGCAAGGGAUUGAAUUUGAAAACUCGAACCCACAGGCCUGAGUAGAUGUGAGUUCGUAUGGGUGGAUAUGCUUUGUUUCCCAUACACCAUUGCAAUAAACUCAUAGACAUGCAUCCACAAAAAUAACUGCCAUUCUUUCUUCCAUUGACAGGGUUCAACAGGAAU
This is a long non-coding RNA of Zingiber officinale, 1019 nucleotides long. RefSeq lists it as uncharacterized. The transcript has 3 exons. The record is from RefSeq and is a predicted model, not a curated record. NCBI's taxonomy places the organism in Eukaryota, Viridiplantae, Streptophyta, Magnoliopsida, Zingiberales, Zingiberaceae.